RNAcentral lists this ribosomal RNA (476 nucleotides) under uncultured bacterium. RNAcentral's name for it is "bacterial SSU rRNA". It matches the Rfam family "Bacterial small subunit ribosomal RNA", at positions 29 to 506 of the family's 1533-position model. The record is from RNAcentral.
AUGAACGCUAGCGGCAGGCUUAACACAUGCAAGUCGAGGGGUAUAGUUCUUCGGAACUAGAGACCGGCGCACGGGUGCGUAACGCGUAUGCAAUCUACCUUUUACAGAGGGAUAGCCCAGAGAAAUUUGGAUUAAUACCUCAUAGUAUAACGACUCCGCAUGGAGAUGUUAUUAAAGUCACAACGGUAAAAGAUGAGCAUGCGUCCCAUUAGCUAGUUGGUAAGGUAACGGCUUACCAAGGCAACGAUGGGUAGGGGUCCUGAGAGGGAGAUCCCCCACACUGGUACUGAGACACGGACCAGACUCCUACGGGAGGCAGCAGUGAGGAAUAUUGGUCAAUGGGCGCAAGCCUGAACCAGCCAUGCCGCGUGCAGGAUGACGGUCCUAUGGAUUGUAAACUGCUUUUAUACAGGAAGAAACAACUCUACGUGUAGAGUCUUGACGGUACUGUAGGAAUAAGGAUCGGCUAACUCCGU